RNAcentral lists this ribosomal RNA (368 nucleotides) under Lasiotrichius succinctus. Its description in RNAcentral is "partial 16S ribosomal RNA". Lineage: Eukaryota; Metazoa; Arthropoda; Insecta; Coleoptera; Scarabaeidae. The record is from RNAcentral.
ACCGUGCAAAGGUAGCAUAAUCAUUAGUUUUUUAAUUGAAAGCUGGAAUGAAUGGUUGGACGAGAAAAUAACUGUCUCAAUUUAAUUUAAAUUAGAAUUUUAUUUUUAAGUAAGAAAGCUUAACUGAUUUUAAAAGACGAGAAGACCCUAUAGAGUUUAAUAUUUAUUAUUUAUUUAAUUUAUUAGUAUAAUAUUAAUUUUAUUAAUAGUAAGUAUUUUAUUGGGGCGAUAGAAAAAUUAAUAUAACUUUUUUUAUAUUUUAACAUUAAUUUAUGAUUUAAUGAUCCAUUAAUAAUGAUUAUAAGAUUAAAUUACCUUAGGGAUAACAGCGUAAUUCUUUUUGAGAGUUCAUAUCGAAAAAAGAGUUU